Molecule: long non-coding RNA, 685 nt
Organism: Oenanthe melanoleuca
Lineage: Eukaryota; Metazoa; Chordata; Aves; Passeriformes; Muscicapidae
Exons: 2
Source: RefSeq, a predicted model, not a curated record
CAAGGACAGCCCUGUGGCGUGGCUGCUCCCUGGGGAGGUGUUGGGCCCACAGCAGGGGGAGAGCUGAGUGGGGCCCGUGGGUGUGAGGAGUGAACUGUGUGCUGGGGAGGGGGUGCAGGGCCAACAGCCAGACCAGGACUUUGUUUUUGCUGUGAGUGUCCCAGAACUCUGUGUGUCACAGGUUUUCCUGCCAGGGCUCAGCCCCAGAGAAGCCACAGCCCCAGAUGGUGACACAGGUGGGACUAGGUGCUUCCAUUCCUGAGAUGAGGGAGCACCAGGUGGCUGGACCAAGAGCUGAUUCUGCAGGAUGGUGAGAGCUGUUCUCGCAGUCUGGUAAUAUUUGUGUGGUCUUUUUGGGUUAUCACAGAAUCAUAGAAGGGUUUGGGCUGGAAGGGGCCAUGGGCAGGGACACCUUCCACUAUCCCAGGUUGCCCCAAGCCCCGUCCACCCUGGCCUUGAACAUGUGCAGGGUUCCAGCCACAGCUUCUCUGUGCCAGAGCCUCCCCACCCUCACUAAUUCCCUGAUACCCCGUGUAACCCUUCCCUGUGCCUGUUGAAACCACCACCCCUUGUCCUGGCACUCCGUGCUCUUUUAAAAAGUCCCCCUCCAGCUUUCCUGCAGGUUGUAGAAAGCUGUUGUGCCUAAUUGGAUGGUGAACAUGAAUAAAAUCAGUUUUUCAAAGUU